AUGGAUGUUUUGAUAACUACGUCACACCUGUGGAUUUUGUUUGCUGUCAUCCCCCUGAAGUUUACUUCUACAGAGCAGAAAAACAUCACAGCUGAGUCUGGACAGGAUGUCACUCUGACAUGUCGAGCUCAAAAUAACAACAUUGAUCUUGUAGAGUGGAACAGAACUGACCUGGAAGAUAAACCUGUUUUUGUGUAUCGGAAUAACAUGUCCGAUCCAGAAAACCAGCAUCCAUCUUUUAAGAACCGGGUGGAUCUGCAGGACAGACAGAUGAAGGAUGGAGACGUGUCUUUGAUUCUGAAGAAUGUGAUGAUUAAUGACACUGGAACAUACGAGUGUCGUGUCAACAUGAAUUUAAAAUUAAAUAAAGACCCCAUCAGCAGCAUCUACCUUCAUGUUGCUGAUCCUCCAGGUCAGACAGGAGGACACACAGAGGAUGGAGGGAAGAAGGAUGGAGGGAAGGAGGAUGGAGGAGCGAAGAGUGGAUCUGUUGGACUGAUUGUUGGUCUGGUAGUUCCUGCUGUGCUUCUUGUUGGUGUCGCUGUUUUUAUGAUCUAGAUAAACCAUGACAAUCAGAAUCAGGAUUCAUACUAACCUGUUGAAAUGCACUAUGUUUGAAACAUCUCACAGCUUUUCCACCUGAAUCUCCUGCUGUUGCUCCAAAUUCCCAGCGUGUCACUCAACACAGGAACAAACGAUGAUCUGAGGACAUGGAAAUCAUGAAAUUUGGUUUUCAGGGUUUCAAGGACUGAAAAACUCACUAAAAUCCUGGAUUCUCUUCUGUUCUUCACUCAUCACCAGCUCUCACCUUCUUCUCACCUGCAGGUCCUCCAGGAGGACUUGGAGGGUUUGUGGGACUGGUAGUGAGUCUGUCAGUUUUGGUGUGUUUAUUCUUGUACCUAAUGUUCUGAUCUCUAAAAGAAGAAAAGGGAACGGUGCUGAAUAUGUGAUUUCUGCUUCUCAGAGAUCCUGUUAAAGUCUAAAGACAUUGGGAGGGUUUCAAACUGUUUGGAGCAGGGAAACAGGUACUAAUGGUGCAGCACUGACUGAUGUGUUUGUGGAUAUGAACUCAUACACAUGAACAUACCUCAGGUUCAUAUCUACAAAUUCAUGUCCCAGGACAUAAACUUUAUAUUUAAUUUUACAUUUGGACAUCUGUGGGGUUGGUGAUGGAGGGAAUCAUUUCACAGCUCACAGGUUUCUACACUUAUGAAAUAAAACUGCAUCACUUUAAGCAUUAAAUCUAUGAAGUUAGAUAAACAUGAGGGUUUGGGAUAAAAUUGUUUACACUAAUUAAUGGUGAUGCAUCCUUGGCAAUGUUAUAGACAUGAAAUAUACGUCUGAGUGAAACACUCAAAGUCAUCAUGUUGACUAUCAUGAACAUUUUUAUAACUCCCUCUUUACAACUGUCUUUACUGUGUAACAUUUCCUACAUUUACACAAACAGAGAUUUUAGACUGUAAAAGUGAAUUUUGCACAGCUACAAAUUACAAACUUUGUUUUAUGAAAACUGAAGUUAAUGCAGCAGUGACUGGAAAAUAACUUGUUCUGCAAAAUAGGCCAUCUCAGUACCACUGACUUUAUGGUAUUUUUCAAAUUUGUUUGUUUAUUUCCUUCAGCAGGUACUUGAACUUCCUUCAGUGGAAAAUGGAAACAGAAGUGUUACAGAAACCUGUGUUUUACAUUUCCUAUUUGUGAAACUUUGGUUUUUUUUCUGUGUAAACCAACAAUUUAAACAAACAAAGUAAUUUAUGCUUUUUUUCUCUGGGUUGAGUGUUUUACAAGAUAGUGAAUGCAUAAAUGCUGUGAGCACUAUAAAAAAAAAAACACUGUUGCAGUUUGUGCAUGUGUCAAGUCAGCCAUGAAAUCCUGACGGUAUCAGAGUAAAAAAGCUGGUUUAGAUUUCAUUUGUUUGUUUCUCACCUCUCCUCCAGGAGCUGCUGAAACAGUCCAGGUGUCUUUUUUCUGCUCAGUGUUCUGGAGGAAAGUGUGCAAGGAAGGAGGAAUGUUGUGCGAUGUGUGUUGAUUUGAUCACUUACAGAGCAGUUUCCCUCAUGUACUGUCUGUGUUCACAUUUUCUGUGAAUAUUACAUCGACCACUACCCGACUUAUGGGGUUUAGCCUGGUGCAGAACUUUUCCCUCAUUUGUUCCUUGGUUUAAUUCUGUUAUUUGUUUGAUUUUAAUCUCCCUGUGAAUCUGAUGCACUGAGCCACUGAAGUGAAGAACCAAAGAAAUAAAAAACUGGACUGUUGACUGUUUAACAGUGAUUUAUUUUUGCACCUUCUCACUGAUUCCUGCUGAAUCAGCACCAAAGAACACACAGCAAACACUCUGAGCUUUGCUUCAGGUCAUCAUGUUAUUCAUCAUCAGAGCGAUCAGUGAGAACAAUCUGAUGUGUGUUUACUUCAACUCAGUAAAAGGCUUCUUCUCACUUAAGUCCCUCUUUAAACCAGAGUGUG
RNAcentral lists this long non-coding RNA (2460 nucleotides) under Oreochromis niloticus (Nile tilapia). Its description in RNAcentral is "lncRNA (ENSONIG00000042150.1)". Lineage: Eukaryota; Metazoa; Chordata; Actinopteri; Cichliformes; Cichlidae. The record is from RNAcentral.